AAUGGCAGCCACAAUUAUGAUCAAGCGACAAGCGGUCUGUCUGAGGAUGAUAGAGAUGGAUUUCUCCAGGGCAAUGCCAACCUUGCUCCUCCUGCCUCUAGUAAUCAGACCUCCAGUUUAUGUUCUGCCAAACUCUUCCCAUUGGACAUCUGGCCCCAGCAGGGAGAAACACAGACCAAGGCACUUAUUUUGGCUUUGACGUCAGCAAAGGAAGGCUGAUGAAAUUCAUCAUCAGCGCAGAUGAAAAUCCACCGAGCCCUAUCUCUCUUCCUUACACCGCCUCCGUUUCGAAAGCUGACAGAGGUCUCGCUUUCCUUUUGUUUUCAUUUUGCUCUGGAUUAAGCCUGAAUCGGUGGAUGUGGUCGCCAGAUGCCAGGAGAAGUCACCUGCCAUUUGCAGCCAUCCUCAAAUACACCAAGUCAGCAUUUCAAUUCACGAAAGCUCCCAAGACAGAUGUGAAACAGAAAGACGCCAUUGUGGGAAAAUCCCUUCCCUUCUCUGGACAUAUCUAAAUAGGCUGUUAUAUGUGUGACUCCCUCUCAGGGUAAGUAUGGCUAAGACAUGCUAUGUCCCUUCAUUGGGUUACUCUACAUUUGACUCUGUCACUGUGACACUAUAUGCUGCCAAAACAUCACAUCCCUUCCCUUGGAACAAAAAGGUCUUUUCAUAAGACUUAUUAAGUCUGAACAUUAAUCAUAUUCAUCAUUAUUCAGUCUGCCUGCUGUCCACAAUACUUAAAUGAAGGGAAAUUUUAAAAAUAGAAAAAGACAAGUUUAGGAACUUCAAGACAAUGAUGAGAAAGGAAUGAUGGGGAAGAA
Molecule: long non-coding RNA, 818 nt
Filed under: Homo sapiens (human)
Lineage: Eukaryota; Metazoa; Chordata; Mammalia; Primates; Hominidae
Description: HSALNT0195496
Source: RNAcentral